UACGUAGGUGGCGAGCGUUGUCCGGAAUUACUGGGCGUAAAGAGCGCGCAGGCGGCUGGUCAAGUCCGACGUGAAAUCUCCCGGCUUAACUGGGAAAUUGCAUCGGAAACUGAUCGGCUUGAAGGUGGGAGAGGGUAGCGGAAUUCCCGGUGUAGUGGUGAAAUGCGUAGAUACCGAGAGGAACACCAGUGGCGAAGGCGAGUCCCUGGACACUUCCUGACACUGAGGCACGAAAGCUAGGGGAGCAAACAGG
Molecule: ribosomal RNA, 253 nt
Filed under: uncultured bacterium
Lineage: Bacteria
Description: partial 16S ribosomal RNA
Rfam family: Bacterial small subunit ribosomal RNA
Source: RNAcentral